Long non-coding RNA from Equus asinus (donkey), 1033 nucleotides. NCBI's taxonomy places the organism in Eukaryota, Metazoa, Chordata, Mammalia, Perissodactyla, Equidae. The record is from Ensembl.
UUUCUUUUUCAGUCUGAGACAAUCAUCCAGUCUUUCUUCUUUGUCUCAGAGGCUAUGUUUUAUUGAAUUAUAUUGUGGAGCACAAAACAGGUGUUAUCUGAACUUUAUUUUUAUUUUAAUGUAGUAUUUUUUUCAGAUAGAUGCUCUUUCUUGAUUUCAAUGUGAUCUGUGUUUGUUUUGCAGAAUGUUUUUAUAGAUUCUGUAUUGUUUAUCCAUCCUUGAAUAUGAAGGGAUUGAUUUAGGCCCUGUAUUAGGUCUAAACCAGUUAAAGCAAAAGCCUGAGCGUGAAGAAAAAUAAAAUCUGAGGGAAGAACUGUGCUUCUUUGGACCUCACCAGAAUUAUUUGGAGUGUUUUGAAAUGUUUUAAAGGAAAUUCUGCCUUGCCUAGGGCUGGAGUGAGGGCUGCCAGUGAAGAGAGCCGAUCAAUAUGGGAGCCAUCCCAGCUCUGCCUGAAAGGCUGGGCUGAUGAGAGGAAAUGGCUUAUCAGUUCCUUCUACAAUCUGGAAAAGAAACCAUUUGUGGAAUCAAUGGAUGCCUGGCAGAACCUGUCAACUGUAGUUCAAAGAUACAUAUCUUCAUUAUCACCAGAUACCUGAGUCAGAAGAUACCUCAGUUCCACAGCCCAGCGCACUGUCCCAGGCAAAUGCACCACCCCGAUGAGAAAAUUGAUGCCUAAAGAGAAGCUAUCCAAGGUCACCCAGGGAGUAAGUGGUAGAGCAAAGACUCGAACCCAGACACUGGAGUCCAGAGUCCAGCCUUCUUCACCGUGUCAGGAGAACCCCUCCGAAACGAUCACUGAAGAUCUUAUGCUUACUCAAAGCUUUGGCAUUGCAAUGCCCCUAAGACCUUCGACUCUAGACCCUACCACAGUCCAGCUGCCAGAUGUGGACACUAGGGUGACCUGGAAACCAUGUGUUGCUGGCAGAGCCUCCAUGGGGCUGGGUCCCUGAAUGACCGCAUGGAGUACACACAAACACACACCACCCCCCUCAACAUGUGAGCAAGAAAUAAACUUCAAUUAUGUUAAGAUACU